AAAACCAUAGACCCAUACGGGUUUGUAUUGGGCAUUGCCUCCUGGCAUAGCCUCAAAGACAUUGGUCUUAUACGCGGACGAGCUCCAUUAGGACAGACCGUGUCAGGACUCUAAAACAUCUG
This 122-nucleotide unclassified non-coding RNA is filed under the name uncultured Archaeorhizomyces. RNAcentral's name for it is "sequence contains ITS2". Lineage: Eukaryota; Fungi; Ascomycota; Archaeorhizomycetes; Archaeorhizomycetales; Archaeorhizomycetaceae. The record is from RNAcentral.